GAUGAACGCUGGCGGCGUGCCUAAUACAUGCAAGUCGAGCGAACAGACGAGGAGCUUUCUCCUCUUAAGUUAGCGGCGGACGGGUGAGUAACACGUGGAUAACCUACCUAUAAGACUGGGAUAACUUCGGUAAACCGGAGCUAAUACCGGGUAAUAUAUUGAACCGCAUGGUUCAAUAGUGAAAGACGGUUUUGCUUUCACUUAUACAUGGAUCCGCGCCGCAUUAGCUAGUUGGUAAGGUAACGGCUUACCAAGGCAACGAUGCGUAGCCGACCUGAGAGGGUGAUCGGCAACACUGGAACUGAGACACGGUCCAGACUCCUACGGGAGGCAGCAGUAGGGAAUCUUCCGCAAUGGGCGAAAGCCUGACGGAGCAACGCCGCGUGAGUGAUGAAGGUCUUCGGAUCGUAAAACUCUGUUAUUAGGGAAGAACAAAUGUGUAAGUAACUAUGCACGUAUUGACGGUACCUAAUUAGAAAGCCACGGCUAACUACGUG
This 497-nucleotide ribosomal RNA is filed under the name uncultured bacterium. RNAcentral's name for it is "partial 16S ribosomal RNA". It matches the Rfam family "Bacterial small subunit ribosomal RNA", at positions 28 to 507 of the family's 1533-position model. The record is from RNAcentral.